GAUUAACGCUGGCGGCGUGCAUAACACAUGCAAGUCGAACGAUGAGACUUAAAUGAUUUCUUCGGAAUGAACUUAAGUGGAUUAGUGGCGGACGGGUUAGUAACGCGUGAGUAACCUGCCUUACACAAGGGGAUAGCCGUUGGAAACGACGAAUAAUACCCUAUGAAACUAUCACUUCGCAUGAAUCGAUAGUCAAGGUGGUAGCGGUGUAAGAUGGACUUGCUUCUGAUUAGCUAGUUGGAGAGAAAAAAGCCCACCAAGGCAACGAUCAGUAGCCGGCGUGAGAGAGUGUACGGCCGCAUUGGGACUGAGGCACGGCCCAGACUCCUGCGGGAAGCAGCAGUGGGGAAUUUUGCACAAUGGGGGAAACGCUGAUGCAGCGACGCCGCGUGAUUGAGAAGGCCUUCGGGUUGUAAAAAUCUUUUGUAUAGGAAGAAAAUGACAGUACUAUACGAAUAAGGUCCGGCUAAUUACGUG
Molecule: ribosomal RNA, 477 nt
Filed under: uncultured bacterium
Lineage: Bacteria
Description: partial 16S ribosomal RNA
Rfam family: Bacterial small subunit ribosomal RNA
Source: RNAcentral